AUUAAUACCCGAUGGCAUAGUUCUUCCGCAUGGUGGAACUAUUAAAGAAUUUCGGUCAUCGAUGGGGAUGCGUUCCAUUAGGUUGUUGGCGGGGUAACGGCCCACCAAGCCUUCGAUGGAUAGGGGUUCUGAGAGGAAGGUCCCCCACAUUGGAACUGAGACACGGUCCAAACUCCUACGGGAGGCAGCAUG
RNAcentral lists this ribosomal RNA (192 nucleotides) under uncultured bacterium. RNAcentral describes it as "partial 16S ribosomal RNA". It matches the Rfam family "Bacterial small subunit ribosomal RNA", at positions 162 to 353 of the family's 1533-position model. The record is from RNAcentral.